CGGGAUUCGUCCCGUUACAAAGGAAUGUAGCCCGUCAUGGGCCGAACCUUGAG
The sequence is a regulatory RNA element, 53 nucleotides long. It matches the Rfam family "eL15-Euryarchaeota ribosomal protein leader". The record is from Rfam.